AGAAGGGUGAUUUGUCAAACUUCAGAAUCAACUUUAAAUGUAAAAACAAAAAGAUCAUUCCACCAACUCAGGCCACCUUGUUGAGUGAAGAGAGAAAACAUUUACAGAACACCUGGAAAGACCUUCGGGCCUGGAGCUGAGAAAUACGUGGAAGCCUCACUAGAAUGAGUUCUUUAUUGGUUCGGUGGACAGCCAGGUUACUAAGGAGCACUUUUUGUUAAAUAAGUGACCAAAAUCCCCUUGGGCCAUCUCCUAAAAUGAUCUUUAUCAUAAUAGCUACAGUAAAAAGAAAGAAGGAGAGGUAUUAAUGUGGGUGGAAAUCAGGACAGUUUCCUAAUGCCGUG
Molecule: long non-coding RNA, 344 nt
Filed under: Homo sapiens (human)
Lineage: Eukaryota; Metazoa; Chordata; Mammalia; Primates; Hominidae
Description: HSALNT0187090
Source: RNAcentral